GAUGAACGCUGGCGGCGUGCCUAAUACAUGCAAGUCGAGCGAACAGACGAGGAGCUUGCUCCUCUGACGUUAGCGGCGGACGGGUGAGUAACACGUGGAUAACCUACCUAUAAGACUGGGAUAACUUCGGGAAACCGGAGCUAAUACCGGAUAAUAUAUUGAACCGCAUGGUUCAAUAGUGAAAGACGGUUUUGCUGUCACUUAUAGAUGGAUCCGCGCCGCAUUAGCUAGUUGGUAAGGUAACGGCUUACCAAGGCAACGAUGCGUAGCCGACCUGAGAGGGUGAUCGGCCACACUGGAACUGAGACACGGUCCAGACUCCUACGGGAGGCAGCAGUAGGGAAUCUUCCGCAAGGGGCGAAAGCCUGACGGAGAAGCGCCGCGUGAGUGAUGAAGGUCUUCGGAUCGUAAAACUCUGUUAUUAGGGAAGAACAAAUGUGUAAGUAACUAUGCACGUCUUGACGGUACCUAAUCAGAAAGCCACGGCUAACUACGUG
RNAcentral lists this ribosomal RNA (497 nucleotides) under uncultured bacterium. Its description in RNAcentral is "partial 16S ribosomal RNA". It matches the Rfam family "Bacterial small subunit ribosomal RNA", at positions 28 to 507 of the family's 1533-position model. The record is from RNAcentral.